Molecule: ribosomal RNA, 497 nt
Filed under: uncultured bacterium
Lineage: Bacteria
Description: partial 16S ribosomal RNA
Rfam family: Bacterial small subunit ribosomal RNA
Source: RNAcentral
GACGAACGCUGGCGGCGUGCCUAAUACAUGCAAGUUGAGCGCUGAAGGUUGGUACUUGUACCAACUGGAUGAGCAGCGAACGGGUGAGUAACGCGUGGGGAAUCUGCCUUUGAGCGGGGGACAACAUUUGGAAACGAAUGCUAAUACCGCAUAAAAACUUUAAACACAAGUUUUAAGUUUGAAAGAUGCAAUUGCAUCAUUCAAAGAUGAUCCCGCGUUGUAUUAGCUAGUUGGUGAGGUAAAGGCUCACCAAGGCGAUGAUACAUAGCCGACCUGAGAGGGUGAUCAGCCACAUUGGGACUGAGACACGGCCCAAUCUCCUACGGGAGGCAGCAGUAGGGAAUCUUCGGCAAGGGACGAAAGUCUGACCGAGCAACGCCGCGUGAGUGAAGAAGGUUUUCGGAUCGUAAAACUCUGUUGGUAGAGAAGAACGUUGGUGAGAGUGGAAAGCUCAUCAAGUGACGGUAACUAUCCAGAAAGGGACGGCUAACUACGUG